CCCACAGCAGGGGGUGGAACAAGAUGCUCUUUAAGGUCCCUUCCAACCCAAAGCAUUCCAUGAUUCUGUGGUCUUUAGCUACUUGUGACAGAAAGUAACAGCACUUGAGUACUUCAUUCUCAAGCAAAAGCCAGGGAGAAGGACAAUGGUAACAAGCAGACAAAUCCCACAUCUUCUCCUUCCACAGGGAGAAGGACACUGGUAACAAAUCCCACUAUCAUCUCAUCUCAUCUCACUUCUGUCUCUCAGCACCUUAGGCUUUUCCAGGAAAGGAACCUCUUUUUCCAUAGGCACAAACUUUCUCUCCCACCAAUUUUUCUCCAGCUCCUGCUCAGGAUCAGCUGUGAUAACAUCACCUUCCCUUUUCCUGCCUGGAUCAUUCCUUUCCCUGCCCCUUUCCCGUAAUUUCAUAUCCCACAGUCCCGAGCCUUGGCAGAGGUCUGCAGCAGCCUUUGAGCAGUGCAGGAAAAAGAAUAAAUUUUUAUUUUACUUUAUUUUGGCAACCUCUCUAUAGUACAACGUGUAUGUUCCCUUCUGUAGGAGAACACCGAGGCAUCAUUAAGGACUUGAUGAGUCCUGUUGUUCAUCGAUUCAGUGCUCACUAAUAAAUCACUGCUUGCAGCCCUCUGCUGGUCCUUUUGAGUCAUAAUUGAAUUUUUUUAAAAUUUGUUAUUGAUAAUCCAAGAAUAUUCCAUUCAGCAUCAGUAAUGAGGUGAGAUGCAAGGAGCUGUCUCUGCUUAACCACCAGACUCAGUGAUCCUAAAAGUCUUUUCCAACCUAAACCACUCUGUGAUUACCAGCACACAUCCAGAUCAUUCGAGGUGUGAUGAAGAAUAAGUGCAUGAAACUGUGUUGUGUUACCAUGUGUAAAUAAAUUUACCACUGUAAAUAAAAGAUUCCUUCAAAGGCACACCAAGCUCCCUUUGGGAACAGCUUGAAAGACCCUGAGAAUGAUGACUUCAUACCUCCUCUGCUUGCUUCCAGGAAUUACUUUAAGUGUAAUGACUGCUCUGGAUUACUUUUUAUCUCUGUUAUUAAUGUUACAUUGACAUUGUCUUGUUUCUUUGUAAAGUUUUGAGAACAAGAAGGCCUUAACUGUAUCUUUUAGGUAUUUUUUCCUCCAGCCUAUUCCCGAGCUGCCUGAAGAAAUAUCUCCCUGGUCUUUCAAGGUUCACAGCAGAAUAAAGAAAUUUAAUAACCAAGUGACCUUAAGAAAUAAACACAUCUUUCUUUCUUUCUUUUUUUUUUCCCCCGUGUUCUUUUCCAGCACUGCCACACAGAGGCAGAGUUGAGGCUGCUUCCAAACUGGAAAGAGUGAGGGAAGAAAAUCCUUAUCACUUAGAAACGACCUGGAUUUCCUACUGGGGACACCGAGUCAUUUUUCAAGUGCCCUGAGGUGCCCUGAGAACGAGCUGAGCACUAAACCAGGCAGAUGAGCAGCAGGAGCCUGAGGUCUGACCUUCUGAAGGACCACUUGAGGAGAGCAGAGGCCCGGCCAGGUGAUUAUUUCAAGCUCUGCAGUGCCUGGAUGAGGUACAGCAUUGGAGCCCUGACCUCAUUUAUAGCUCCUGCAUUUAUGAAAAGCCAAGAGAUUAUGCAGAGAGCUUUCCUGAGGGUGAUCAUAUGAGGCAGGAGACAUGAAGUCAUCGUCCUGAAGCCCAAGGUGAAAUCAGGCUGUCCCAAAAAACCCCAGGCAGGCCUAGGGAUGCAUCUCAUAGUGCUGCAGGAAGGAAAACUGAUCCAGCUUAAUUUUUUUAGGGUGUUUUCCUAAGAGAUCUCCUGAAGGGGACUUUGUGGUCAGUUUAGUCCUUCCAACCAACACACAACCACAAUUUGAUCAAGUUUAGGGUUAUAAAAAUACCAAGUGUCUGUGAAUUUCAUGAGUUGUCCAGUUAGAGUGAGCACUUCUGCCAGGCUGUUUCCUGGCUUUAUCCUGUAGGGAAAGCUGGCAUUUAAAAUCUCACUCAAAGCAGUUUUCUGGGCUUAAGAGUUAGAAGACCAAAAAUCAAGAGGCAAUUACUUUUCUGUAGCUCAGCAUUUCAUUCCAGGAAGACAAUCCAGGUAUCAAUUCUUCCUCCUGCAGAAAAAAAUCCUGGCUUUAAUGGGAAAUAAUUCAAUCCUAUCUGCCUGAACUGAAGCCCACAGAGGUGCCUUUGACUUCCCAGGAGCCAGGUUGGGCUUGGUGCCUGUGAACAUGGCUUUCCCACUGCACAUGGUUGGGAAUGAUUAGCAGAACCCCCUGUCCUGCUUGGAGAAGCCCCCGUUGGAAAGCACAUUCCCGCCCAACAGCCCAGUCCUUCUGCUCUGCAGCACCUGGGAUAUCCCAGCAAAGCCUCCCAGGGUCCAGAAGAUCCCUGGGGGUUCAGGUUUUUGGGAGCUUCAGUGUGAGCAAAGCCUUCCCCAUGCUCAGCUCCUGCUGUUACACAACCCGUGCCCGCCCGCGGUUUGCGUCAGCUGCAGAAAAUGCACAGUAAGGUUUUGCUGCUUCCCACUUUGGAAAGCCACUUGGAAGACCUCAGAAUUACAACAGCCCUUCUCACAACCCAUCAGCCUUUCCUCCCAGUGCUAAGAAACUCCAGUAACUGCUAAUUAUUCAGUAAUUAAGUGUCUCUCCGGGGUUGUAAUUGUGAGUCUGGUCUCUCCCCGUCACUGGGUGCUCCUUAGGUAGCAGUUUUCUCAAGGCCCAAACAAAUUCUCUCCUUUCCAUUUGAUUGGAUUACAAAAUUGCUUUAAACUCUGUGGAGAUGAUUAGGAAAAGUCUGUUUUUGCGCCACAGUUGCCAUGGGAACUAAAGGAGAGAGAGAUCUUUAUAAACCACAAGUCAAGCAGAUUGUGUUGCAGACAAUUAAUAUUGUCUCGUUCAUCUGCCUUAACUCUUCUGUGCACUUAUCCCAAAAUAGUUUUUGUCUCUUUUUCCAUGUCAAAUUCUGUGUCAAAGAGAUUCUGCUCCCUCAAGGAUUCACCCCUCACUCUCUUGCAAGGUCAUCCUGGUUAGUUAUAUCUUCCUCUUCUUCUUUGCCUCUUUGGUCUGGGGACACCUCUGGGUGGGAUUUGGUUUGGGACUGGGACACAAGUGUGGGAGAAGUGUCAAAGCUCCCAUCCUGUCACUGGAACCAGAGCACACUGGUGGCUGGGCUGAGCAGCUCUAAAUGCUUCUCCUGCACCAACCCCUCUGCUCUCUUUGCUAACACUCCAGACUCCUCAAACCUUCAUUUCUUCUAAUUCCAUGUUUGAUACUUUAGGGAAGAGAACUGAUAAUUGACCCAGUGCUGGUCCCUCUGCUCUCCUCUCUUUCCAAACCCUCUUCCUCCAGCCCCAUCCCAUCUCCUGAGUUCUCUCUCACCUGCCCUCUCCCACAUCCUGCCAUCCUCUGGCUCUCUCCUCACACCACAGGUGUUGCACUUUAAAAAUAAUUAGCAAAGGAAUGUCCUUAUUUUCCUCCAGACCUCUGCCUGACUCUCUGAACGGGAGGAAUUCCCCUACCAAGGGAAUUCAAUAUUCAUUCAUUUAAAAAGCAGGCUCCUCCUCAGCCCCCUCCCCUGUGCAGCACUGAUUUCCUUCCUCUGGAUUCGGGGUUGGAUAUGGGAUUACUUAUUUUCCCAGGGGCUGAUCCAUCAUGCUGUUGUUUCAGUUGUUUCAGUUCUCCUCAAACAGCUUUUCUGUCCCAUCAGAGGCAGAAGCUGCUUUCAGCUGCUUCAUUUUUAGGCCACUGUUCAGAUCCCUGAACACAGGGUUGUGAUCCCAGUUCUUCCACCAUCCCACCUGUUUCACAAGAGCAGCCACGGGAUUUGAAAAAGGCAAGGGCCAAAACACCAAACUUCCAAUUCCUGAUCAAAAUCAGGGGAGAGUGAGACGACCUCAGAGAAACACAGGGGAGAAUCAGCAUUGCAUGAGGUAACCCUCCUCUUUUCCCUGGCUCCAGCCUCCAACUGAUUUUGGCAGAAACCUUCCAGAAUAUUUGUUCUGAGGCAGCCUGGAACACGUCAGCAGGCGAGAUCUCAGCUCAGGAAGAUGAGAGGAGACUGAGAGCAGGGGCUUGCAGUGGGAAAUGCUGGGCAGUCAGAAAUGUAGGUGCUGGCACCUCCUCUGCUCACACCAUUUUGCUGAAAAAUAGGCACAAACCAGAGAGCACAGAGCAAAGCACGUAUGUGUGUGCUCUUGCACACCCAACAGCCAGGCACAAAAUGACCAUCUCCUGCCCUCCAAAUACUUAUUUGCUCCGAGUUUACUCUGACCUGCUGAUUUUCCAUCCCUGAAAGUUGCUCUUGGUUCCAGGAGACAGCGAAUAUUGUGCUGACUGAAACCCAUUUGCUGCAUUUUAGUCACAAGAAACCCGUUGCCUGGGGGCCAGCACAGGAUUGUGCCUGAGGGUGUCCAAAGACAUAGAAGGGAAAAUGAUAUUAAAAGUGUUUUCUUACAAAAUGUCACUUUUUUUUUGCAGGAGGAAGGUCUGGGCAGGUAUUUUUGUACUGUUUUGGGAGCUCCAGCAGACGUUACGUGCACAGGGCAAGACAAAAAAUAGGCCAUAUUUAACUCAUUAUUCUCAGUCCAUAAAAACAUUCCACUUCAGGCUCGGUUUCUAGCCUUAAAAAUCCAUGAGGCAGGAGAGAUGUCAGCACACCCUGCAUUUUCCCUGUCACCAUGGAAAAGGAAGCCUGUGUAACCUGAGAAGCUGGAACCAGGCAAGAAGAACCAGAAGGUGUUUAUUGUGGCCAGUGCUCCAUGUGGGUGCAUUCCCAGUCACCUGCCUUGUGCAGGCUGUGGAGAUCCAACCUCUGUGUUCCCUGCAGUCUCUGAGGCUGGAGGAAUUUCUCUGGGAAGCCUGUGGGGAAGUGAUGUUGUUUUGAAGCCAAAAAUAAUUCUUUCAGAUAGACAACUUGAUCUGUAACAGGCCCUUUACCUCGCUGCUAUCAGAUAAUGCUGGUGAGAUGCAGGUCAUGACCUUCAGGAGGAUUAUGGUGGAUUAUUAGAUCAGAUUAGAUUAGAUUAUCUUCCUGGAUAAGGUCAGGAGGGGCAUGGGGUGAGAGGGAGAUUUUCCACAUAUCCCCAGGCAUCCAGGUGUUCUUGGGGGGGGGAUCACCUCACUCCUCCUUUUCUUUGCAUCCCUGUUCCAUCUAUUUCAGCCUGCCCUGUGUGGGCACUGAUGCCAACCUCUUUCUAGUCAUAUCCUUGCUGUUCAGAUCAAACCCACUGUGCCAGGCAGAGCCACAAACAGAGCCCUGGAAGCUUUUCCACCCUCGGAAGGAGACGGGCUGGCUGCUCUUGGCAGAAAUCCCGCUGCUGCUUAAUUGGAAAAAGGGUUUCAAAUCAGGCUGGUGUUUUUUCUUUAAGUAAGGCAUCUCAAAUGGAGAGCUCAGCAUCAAAGAAUCGAGCAGAGCAGCACAGAAACAGCAACAAGAGCAUCUAACAAGGCAGAGAAUGUGAGUUCAGUGAUUCCUGACCCUGGUGAGGCUGGAAAGAGAGACAGUGCUUCCAAGGUUGUCUUUGAGCACAAGGGAACAUUUCUCCUUGUGACUUUUCUAUUUUGCAGCAAAAAGAGAAGCACAGCAACAGAACAAAACUGUUCUUCCAGAAGGAACCAUCAUAUCUAACCAAAUAUCUACUCAUUGACACUGAGGGGCUCCGAGUCAGGCUCACAAGAGCAUGAACAGCACAUCAGGAUUUUGGAUUUAACACCCCUUCCCCAUUUCUCUGCCUGGAAAGACCUUCUCUGAGUAGCCCUAUUGCUGAUGGGCAUUUGCUCUCCUGGGCUGGGAUUAGGAUGGCAGAAACUUGGCAGCUUUCAAAUCCAAAUUCCCUGAGACUGGAAGAGUUUUGAUCUCACUCUGGACUUUAUUAUUUACAUUUUCUUUUCAUGGCUUCAUGGCCACAUGGUUUUGCCUUUAUACAGUGGGUGUGCAUUGGCCACACUCGUUCUCACAGGCAGCUUGUAAGGUUUCCUAAAAACUUCUGCUAUUUUUAGAACUAAUAUUUUCUUGUGCACUGUGGGAAUUACAGUCCCAGUCCCCAGGGAGUGUGAGGGACAGGCUGUGAUAAGGGUGGACUUGCUGGGUCACUCACAGGAGGGUUUUUUUGUCACUCUGUACCUUCCUCCACUGCUGCCACUGAGGCCCAAGGGGUUACCCUGAUCAACCUGCAGAGCAGGAGCUGGUUGUUCUUUAUGUUCUCUGUAAAUUCAGAUGGAAGCCUAUUUUCACUAAAAAAAAAAAAAAUGGAUUUAUUCACCCCUUUGCAAUAAAAACAGAGUCAUUUUAA
Pseudopipra pipra is the source of this 6255-nucleotide long non-coding RNA. RefSeq lists it as uncharacterized. Lineage: Eukaryota; Metazoa; Chordata; Aves; Passeriformes; Pipridae. The transcript has 2 exons. The record is from RefSeq and is a predicted model, not a curated record.